Alexandromys fortis (reed vole) is the source of this 4250-nucleotide long non-coding RNA. RefSeq lists it as uncharacterized. The record is from RefSeq and is a predicted model, not a curated record. The transcript has 2 exons. NCBI's taxonomy places the organism in Eukaryota, Metazoa, Chordata, Mammalia, Rodentia, Cricetidae.
CUAAUGCACAGAUAGCUGACAUCAACUUCCGUCAGGCAGCUCCGGGAGAUCGAACCUUUCGAUUGUAACUGGGACAAUUUGCAUAGUGAUUCCCUUUUGGAGCUUUCUCGGGUCCGUAACGAGCGCAGGCAGCUAUUCAAAUGCAAGUUGCGUCCCCAAAAGCGCUGCUGGCCUGAGCAAAAGGAGCGGCUCGACGCUGGGCGAGCCGAGACCAGCGCUGGGGUUCUGGGUCACCUCUUUUCUCCCGGUUUCUUCCUCGCUCUUCGGUUCCUGAAUUAGCUGUUUGUUUAUGACUACAAACGCGUGUGAGCCAGAGAGACAGCGCACGAGGGAGGGAAUUGAUGUUUACCCGGACUCAAAGCUGAAGCCGAAGGAGUGCAGGGGAUUUGGGGUUCUGAGUGGGAUUCAGACCCUGGGUUCCGAUGGGGAGCCAGUGGGCUUUCUUGCCCGCUAUCCUAAUCACCGCGACCUUGCAGGAAUCCUCAGGACUGAGAGCGGCUUUGGAGAAAGUGACGGCCGCUGCGUCCCAGUCUUUAAAAUGAACGCAAAGAAAGGAGUCAAAGCUGAAACCUAGUCCCGUGUCAGAAGCAACCUGCCAUGAAAUCCGCUAAUGCGCACAGACUCGCCCUCCGCGGUAAGCCAGCCUCGUAGGUCCACGCCGCAGUGGACUAAGAACGGGGAGUCAGCGCAGCCAGGUGCUCGAGCGUGUGCCACGCGGGUCCUUUGCUGAGCUCGUGGCCACGCAAAUAGGGUGGGAGCCGAGGGCGGAGGGCACAGCCAGCGUCACGCCCGGGAAACGGAAAGGGGGCGCCCCCCUCCCAGACUGUCUGCCAGCCACCGUGGGUAACAGGUCCUCCCCCACGAGUUUAAAGCAGCAAAUGAGAACCAAGAGCUGGCCUCGGAGCGGGGUGUAAACGCGGGUGGCGGGUACGCGAGCACGCUGCUGAGCUUUGCGCGCGGUUCUGUUCCCGAGCAGCGCGCCGCGGCCCCGUGCACCUGCUCUGUGCGUUUUGUACAAACGGAGUGGGCAAGGUACACACUCCUUGGAGCAGGCCCCCAACUAGAAUCUGUCUAUUCUUCCUCACUUCUAGUUGACGUUUCUACACCGCCCAGGUUACUCGGUUUUUCCUCGGAAUCUAACCCAAGCCUUCUAAAGAUAACCCAGCCAGUGACCUUGACACAGAAUGUUGUGGCAAAAAAUCACCUCGUUCACUUCAGCAGUGGCUAAAUUUGUGUUAUUUUGUUUUAAGUACUGAAAGGGGGGACAUAGGUUAUUUAAACCUGCAGACAUAGCCAAACACAUUUUCAAAUAUUCUUCUUAUAUUGCUUCAGUGCUGAGAGCGGGCAGGGAGCUUAAUGAUCCCUGCUUUAUGCAGGAUGCACGGAAUAUUUUUCUUGGUUUUUUGUUUGUUUGUUUGUUUUGAUAGCUUUGAAAAAACGUAGACUGUUUCUCUGUUCUUUUCCUAACCGAUUCUUAGGAAUCCAAAACAGUAAAAGUAAACGUCUGUUUGAAAUUGAACGUCGAGAAAAGCAGACAGGUUGGAGCAAAUAAAUUCAACAUAAAUUAAAAGUGAAUUGGACAUAGCAAGCGAAACUAUGAAAAAGAUAUGAGCAAUUAAUAUCUAUGGGGGAAGCAGGUUUAAAGCUGAAAUCUCUAGGUUUUACUCCCAACGCAAACGAAGCCAAAGGAAUUGAAUACAUUGGCUUGCCCUUGUGCAUCUAACUGAAAACAAGAGGCCUGCCCAAAGCCAUCUUGAUCAAGUGUACACUCCGAGGAUGUUAAAGGACGGAUUCACUGCGAGACACUUGCAUACAUUUUCCGUAAACUACAACCAAUUAGGGGACCUUUAGUUCUGGUGGGAAACUAUUUUAAUUUUAUAUCUGCCUUUGGGGGAGAAGAAAAGCCUGGCAGUUAUUACUCGUUCCUGAGGAGUUAAUUUAAUGCAAAUAGUCUACUCUCCUGUCAGCACAGGAGAAGUAGAAGCCCCGGGGGUCAGGAAGGGCCAGUCGGGUGGUGGAGAAGCCUAGCGCUCUGGGGAGACCGACAGGAGACUCGGAACCAGCGUUGGGUUGGUUGCUUCUCUCCCUCUCCUAAAACUGUAACUCAAGAUGUAAGUAAAAGUGUUUUCAUUUUUUAUUGAUCCCACUAACAUCUUUCAUUAUCCAGCAUGUAGCCACAGCAAAUUAUUGCUCAUUUGAUACCCAGAAUUCUAUUGACCAUGGCUUUCGUCGGGAGGGAGAAUUCUAACUCCUGAUGGCUCUGAGUUCAGAGCUGAGGCUGGAAACGCGUAAAUCCAGCUCUGACCUGCAGGAAUUGAUGGACGUGUGUGGGUGACAUGGAUCCACGUGGGCAUGCAUAGAAACCUGCUUUUUACUCUGCUGGCUUUGCCCCCAUUCCGGCAAAAGGUCAGUCCCUUUGGAACAGACAGGGCUACUUGCAAGGCUGGGAAUUCGUUGGUAAGUUCUUUCCAGCUCUAGCCAGCCCGGGAAGAAAAUAAGACAAUGGAAGAUUUUUCCUCUGGCUUUUGUGCGAAGCUAGCCCACAACAGAAAUACUUAAAGAAGCAUUAAACCAUGCCCCCUCAACAAAAGGUUCUUGAUUUUUACCUAAGAAUAUUAUUUUUUUAAAUUUCAUCCUCCUCCCACUCUUUCAAGAUCCUACAACAUUACAGAGAGGCUAGCGUGGACUGAACGAUCUGCGAUGAGUCUGGUUGGCCGUGGGCACCCUCCUCCAUGACAGGAGCCAUGGCUACAAUGCCCAACUCGGGUAAAGAAGGAACCUCUGCCUGACCUUUGACCCUGAAACUCACCGCCCCCCCCCCAGGUUGCUAGAGAGAGGCUGGUCCCAAAAUGAGGCCUGAGAAGAGGGCCUUGAGGGCAGUGGGGAAGGCCAGAUGAGUGCUUCGGGAAGCUGGAUUUGGGAUAUGCCUACCAGAUCUCCAGGAACUGAUGCCACUCUGAAUCAGGAGACCUGAAGACUUGACCUGCCAAAGGUUGCCUGCCCAUCUCCUACAUAGCCUAGUGAGGGACCUCCUCACUGCCUCCACGUAGGGGAAAGUCACAAUUGGAUCCCUCCACAGAGCCUGUCCUAUUUCCAAGGAACAAGGAAUCCGAUCCAUACCCUUCUCCUUGAGCCCUGACACCUAGAGGGACCGAGGAAGAGGCAUUCAUUUCUACAAGUAUCAGGAGCUAAGCCGUCCAGGCUGAUUUCGAGAACAGCAACAAUGUAAAGAAGCCAUUAAAGGUUUUCUAAAAGCCCCAGCUCGUGCCAUACCUCCAAAGAGCUCUGAUGCAAAACCUGAAGGUGCAUUUAAGGGUGCUAAGGGACCUGGCCCCGGGAUAUUGUGAAAAGUGUGUGAAGCCACUGUCAGGAGGCCCUGUUGUUCCCGAACAAGGCAGUGAAAAUGUAGGAGUGGGCACCACAGACAGCACGCAGAGCAAGGGGCUGAAAGCGAAGGGACUCCCGAGGAUUCCGACACUCAGCUGGAGAAUUUGGGGAGUGUAGAGGGAAAUACACACUGUGGGCUCUUUUGUUUUUCUUUUAAAACACUUAAAAACGAACAGAACCCGGCUGUUGAUGUAAUUAUGAGAUGUUCAAUGCAGUAUAUUCUUCACGGGUACCCCCAGCCACUACACUUAUCUCUACUAGCCUAGGCUGGUGUGGAAAGCAAGCAAGCAAACAAACAUACACUUUGCCAGUUCCAGCAGCUCUGAAAGCCAAGACAAACAAACAAACAAUCACACACAGAGACCUAGGGGGAAGAGGCAGACUUCAAACAGUUGUUCCUCUACCUGUGGCUGGCUGAGUUCUGGAGCUGUGGAGUCCUAAAAAGGCAAAGUAGGUCAUCCUGAAUGCAGAAGUUACCUUGGGAAACAAAACUAGAGACCUGGGUUUGAGGUCAUGUUGGGGUCACCCAGCAGCAUUUCUUUGGAGCAAGACAGAACUGAGAGUUUUUCAGUGGGACACAAUUGAUUUGGAUCUGAGAUUGAGAAAUGUCUUCUAGGAACUGCAGCAAUCACCUGGGGGCGGGGUUAAAAAGUGCUCUUGCCUCUCCUCGGAGGACUCCUGACUGGGGCACUACACUUCCCAACUGCCUUAUCAGCCCCCUCAGGGUUUUGCCAGGCAAAUGAAACUCAAGAACUCAAUAGUAAAUUAUUUUGUUCAGCCUUCUGUCUUUUUAUGAAAAUAAAAGCCAACACUUUGUCAUUUUUAAUCGCAUAAGCAGACAAUAAAUCUAAUUUGGAUAUUGA